RNAcentral lists this ribosomal RNA (982 nucleotides) under uncultured Glomeromycotina. RNAcentral's name for it is "eukaryotic LSU rRNA". The stretch from base 606 to 982 matches the Rfam family "Eukaryotic large subunit ribosomal RNA", at positions 1 to 376 of the family's 3401-position model. Lineage: Eukaryota; Fungi; Glomeromycota. The record is from RNAcentral.
GGAAUGAAUGGCUUAGUGAGGCCUUCGGAUCGAAUUUCGAAGACUGGCAACAGUCUUUGUUUUUUGAAAAGUUGUACAAACUUGGUCAUUUAGAGGAAGUAAAAGUCGUAACAAGGUUUCCGUAGGUGAACCUGCGGAAGGAUCAUUAUUGAUUUUAGCUUAACCUGGCUUUUUAGCCAAGGUUAAUGCGAAAUUUUGUAUUUAAAACCCACUCUUACAUGAAUCAUAUUUUUUUUAUUGUGAUAAAAAAGAUCACUUUCAACAACGGAUUUCUUGGUUCUCGCAUCGAUGAAGAACGUAGCCAAGUGCGAUAAGUAAUGUGAAUUGCAGAAUUCCGUGAGUCAUCGAAUCUUUGAACGCAAAUUGCACUUUCUGGUAUUCCGGAAAGUAUGCCUGUUUGAGGGUCAAUUUAAUAACAAUCGAUGUGUUGCUUUUAUUAGUAAUACAACGGAUUUGAGUUAUCUUAUCCUUAGGUUAAGAGGCUUAAAAUUAAUUUAAUUUUGUAUUAAGACGUACUUAGAAUUUUCUAUGCGUUUCGGAUGCAAGGAUUUUAUUAGGUAUGAUCAUAUUUUUCAUGAUAUCAUACUCAUAAUUUUUUCAACUUUUGACCUCAAGUCAGGUAAGAAUACCCGCUGAACUUAAGCAUAUCAAUAAGCGGAGGAAAAGAAAAUAACAAUGAUUCCCUUAGUAACUGCGAGUGAAGAGGGAUAAGCUCAAAUUUUAAAUCUGUUAGGUUUACCUAACCGAGUUGUAAUUUGAAGAGGCGUUUUCUACGUUUUUGAUCAGUCCAAAUUCCUUGGAAUAGGAUAUCAUGGAGGGUGAGAAUCCCGUUCGGCUGAUCGAUACGUUUUACGAUACGCUUUCAAAGAGUCAAGUUGUUUGGGAUUGCAGCUUAAAAUGGGAGGUAAAUUUCUCCUAAGGCUAAAUAUAGGCGAGAGACCGAUAGCGAACAAGUACCGUGAGGGAAAGAUGAAAAGUACUU